AAACUCUUUGAUUAGCACCCUUGGAGAAGCGGAAUGAGUUUUCACGGUGUUCAUGGUGCAUGGUGCUCGUUGAGAGGAAGAAAUAAAUUGACACCCGUUUGAAACUC
Molecule: long non-coding RNA, 107 nt
Organism: Cyprinus carpio (common carp)
Lineage: Eukaryota; Metazoa; Chordata; Actinopteri; Cypriniformes; Cyprinidae
Source: RefSeq, a predicted model, not a curated record